GACGAACGCUGGCGGCGUGCUUAACACAUGCAAGUCGAACGGAAAGGCCCUGCUUUUGUGGGGUGCUCGAGUGGCGAACGGGUGAGUAACACGUGAGUAACCUGCCCUUGACUUUGGGAUAACUUCAGGAAACUGGGGCUAAUACCGGCUAGGAGCUCCUGCUGCAUGGUGGGGGUUGGAAAGUUUCGGCGGUUGGGGAUGGACUCGCGGCUUAUCAGCUUGUUGGUGGGGUAGUGGCUUACCAAGGCUUUGACGGGUAGCCGGCCUGAGAGGGUGACCGGCCACAUUGGGACUGAGAUACGGCCCAGACUCCUACGGGAGGCAGCAGUGGGGAAUAUUGCACAAUGGGCGGAAGCGUGAUGCAGCAACGCCGCGUGCGGGAUGACGGCCUUCGGGUGGUAAACCGCUUUCGCCUGUGACGAAGCGUGAGUGACGGUAAUGGGUAAAGAAGCACCGGCUAACUACGUG
This 468-nucleotide ribosomal RNA is filed under the name uncultured bacterium. RNAcentral's name for it is "partial 16S ribosomal RNA". It matches the Rfam family "Bacterial small subunit ribosomal RNA", at positions 28 to 507 of the family's 1533-position model. The record is from RNAcentral.